GACGAACGCUGGCGGCGUGCUUAACACAUGCAAGUCGAACGGUGAACGAGGGAGCUUGCUCCCUCCGGGUCAGUGGCGAACGGGUGAGUAACACGUGAGCAAUCUGCCCCGAACUCUGGGAUAAGCUUUGGAAACGACGUCUAAUACCGGAUACGACGCGGGAGGGCAUCCUCUCCGCGUGGAAAGAACUUCGGUUCGGGAUGAGCUCGCGGCCUAUCAGCUUGUUGGUGAGGUAACGGCUCACCAAGGCGACGACGGGUAGCCGGCCUGAGAGGGUGACCGGCCACACUGGGACUGAGACACGGCCCAGACUCCUACGGGAGGCAGCAGUGGGGAAUAUUGCACAAUGGGCGCAAGUCUGAUGCAGCAACGCCGCGUGAGGGACGACGUCCUUCGGGUUGUAAACCUCUUUUAGCAGGGAAGAAGCGAAAUUGACGGUACCUGCAGAAAAAGCACCGGCUAACUACGUG
Molecule: ribosomal RNA, 470 nt
Filed under: uncultured bacterium
Lineage: Bacteria
Description: partial 16S ribosomal RNA
Rfam family: Bacterial small subunit ribosomal RNA
Source: RNAcentral